Molecule: unclassified non-coding RNA, 379 nt
Filed under: uncultured Paenibacillaceae bacterium
Lineage: Bacteria; Bacillati; Bacillota; Bacilli; Caryophanales; Paenibacillaceae
Description: contains 16S-23S intergenic spacer region
Source: RNAcentral
UCCGGUUUGUCACCGGCAGUCAUCCUAGAGUGCCCAUCAUCACAUGCUGGCAACUAAGAUCAAGGGUUGCGCUCGUUGCGGGACUUAACCCAACAUCUCACGACACGAGCUGACGACAACCAUGCACCACCUGUCUCCGAUGCUCCGAAGAGGGGCAUCAUCUCUGAUGCUUUCACCGGGAUGUCAAGACCUGGUAAGGUUCUUCGCGUUGCUUCGAAUUAAACCACAUACUCCACUGCUUGUGCGGGUCCCCGUCAAUUCCUUUGAGUUUCAGUCUUGCGACCGUACUCCCCAGGCGGAAUGCUUAAUGUGUUUACUUCGGCACCAAGGGUAUCGAAACCCCUAACACCUAGCAUUCAUCGUUUACGGCGUGGACUAC